Eurytemora carolleeae is the source of this 3153-nucleotide long non-coding RNA. RefSeq lists it as uncharacterized. Lineage: Eukaryota; Metazoa; Arthropoda; Copepoda; Calanoida; Temoridae. The record is from RefSeq and is a predicted model, not a curated record. The transcript is spliced from 3 exons.
GGAAGGUUCUCUUGCUCAUGGUUGGGGUACAGGAGAGAAGGUUGAAAGAGAAUAUGGAUGAGCACUGAGAAAAACGCUAAACACAGAAUUCUUAAAAAACAAAAAAUCAAAAUUGUUUGGGGUGGAGUGAACAUCAUCGGUUCCAACUUCUAUCAUUUUAGAAACAGAAAUUCAUGGUUAAACAGGAUCAGAAUCAAUAGGUUCCAGAUGAAUGGUAGCAGGAUCUAUUGGUUCCAGAUUCAAUAGGAGCAGGAUAUAUUGGUUCCAGAUUCAAUAGGAGCAGGAUAUAAUGGUUCCAUAUCAAUAGGAGCAGGAUUUAUUGGUUCCAGGUUCAAUAAGAGCAGGAUAAAUUGUUCCCGAUCUUUAGGAGAAGGAUAUAUUGGUUCCAGGUUCAAUAGGAGCAGGAACUAUUGGUUUCAGAUUCAAUAGAAGCAGGAUUCAUUGAUUCCAGAUCAAUAAGAGCAGGAUACAUUGGUUCCAGAUCAAUAGGAGAAGGAUAUGUUGGCUCCAGGUUCAAUAGGAGCAGGAUAUAUUGGUUCCAGAUCAAUAUGAGAAGGAUAUAUUGGUUCCAGGUUUAAUAGGAGCAGGAACUAUUGGUUUCAGAUUCAAUAGAAGCAGGAUUCAUUGGUUCCAGAUCAAUAGGAGCAGGAUUCGUUGGUUCCAGAUCAAUAGGAGCAGGAUAAAUUGGUUCCAGAUCAAUAGGAGAAGGAUAUAUUGGUUCCAGGUUCAAUAGGAGCAGGAACUAUUGGUUUCAGAUUCAAUAGAAGCAGGAUUCAUUGGUUCCAGAUCAAUAAGAGCAGGAUACAUUGGUUCCAGAUCAAUAAGAGCAGGAUAUAGUGGUUCCAGAUUCAAUUGGAGCAGGAUUCAUUGUUUUCAGGUUCAAUAGGAGCAGAAUAUAUUGGUUUCUAGGACAGAAUCUUCUGGUUCCAGAAUAUAAAAGAAUAAGAAAUAAAAGAUAUAUUUUGGAAAAAUGCUGAUGUCAAGUUAGUGCCAUUAAACUUCUUAUUUACCGUUAUUUACCAUGAAAAUCAUCUGGAAAACAUAUCAGAUUCAAAGUAUGGUGUCUAUUCAUAGAAUAUUUUAAAUGAUCCUAAAAUGAUCUUAAGUUUUGUUGAGAAAAUAAAGAUGUUUUCCAGUUAUAUCUCUAUCAGUUAUACUGCACUGAUCCUCUACUUAGCUUUCCUUCUUCUUUUCCUACUCUCAAUCAUAACCCUCAUCAGCUGCAAGAUCUGUCUGAUAGGAGCAGACCCAGCCGACCGGCCAGCUAGUCAGAGAUAUAUCAGGAAAUAAAUAUAAAAUGCAAUAAAUAUCUUUUAAUUUGAUUUGUUUUGUGUUUUUAAGGAGGAUUUUUUUAACACAUUUUUAAAUAGUUCUAUAAGCUGCAUGCAUGGAAUUGCAUACAAAUAUUUGAACUUUUACAUUUUAUUUUCAUACUUAUUACAACGUGUUUAAAGUUGACCAAAAUUAGGACCAAAAACAACUAAUGUACGUUAACAACAAUUAAAAAAAAUCUAUUCAUUUUUUCACAUCUUUACAUUUAGGGUUCCUUACAGGCCAAAACUACAUUUAGGGUUCCUUACAGGCCAAAACUACAUUCAGGGUUCCUUACAGGCCAAAACUACAUUCAGGGUUCCUUACAGGCCAAAACUACAUUAAGGGUUCCUUACAGACCAAAACUACAUUCAGGGUUCCUUACAGGCCAAAACUAAAUUUAGGGUUCCUUCCAGGCCAAAACUACAGUUAGUGUUCCUUACAGACAGGCCAAAACUACAUUUAGGGUUCUUUACAGGCCAAAACUACAUUCAGUGUUCCUUACAGACAGGCCAAAACUACAUUUAGGGUUCUUUACAGGCCAAAACUACAUUCAGGGUUCCUUACAGGCCAAAAAUAAUUAUUCAGUGUUCCUUACAGACCAAAACUAAAUUCAGGGUUCCUUACAGGCCAAAACACCAUCAAAAUUGAAAGCAGAAACCAAAUGUCAAGUUUUAAAUCGUCGUAUCUUUUUUUGCUUUUAGUCGUCUUUAAAGUCUCAUCCAUUGUGGGUAUGUAUGGAACAUUUUUUUCUUCUUCUCUUUUUCAUGUCCUUUAUUUUUCCCCUAAUUAUAAAGAUGGAUUUAUUUCUAAAACCAGAGGACAGAAAAAGCAUACAUUUUCCUUCUGCUGACACAGUACACAAGAUGGCGCUGUAUCCUGUGACCUUUCUAGUGUGCUCCGGGUUCAUACUCUUAGUAUUAUUUUGCUCUAUAUGUAAGGUAUUUUUCCUGGAUAAACAAGAAAAAUUAACUCUUCGUCCUGCAUCCUCCGUACACAGCAGAGGUUAAAGAGAGAACAUGUGUAACCUCCGUACACAGCAGAGGUUAAACAGAGAACAUUUGUAACCUCCGUACACAGCAGAGGUUAAACAGAGAACUUUUUGUAACCUCCGUACACAGCAGAGGUUAAAUAGAGAACCUUUUGUAACCUCCGUACACAGCAGAGGUUAAAUAGAGAACAUUUGUAGCCUCCGUACACACCAGAGGUUAACGAGAGAAAAUUUGUAACCUCCGUACACAGCAGAGGUUAAAGAGAGAACAUUUUUAACCUCCGUACACAGCAGAGGUUAAAGAAAGAACAUUUUUAACCUCCGUACACUACAGAGGUUAAAGAAAGAACAUUUGUAACCUCCGUACACAGCAGAGGUUAAAGAGAGAACAUUUGUAACCUCCGUACACAGCAGAGGUUAAAUAGAGAACAGUUGGCAUCCUCCGUACACAGCAGAAGUUAUACAGAUGAUAUUUUGAACCUCCAUACAUAACAGAAGUUAGAGAGAGGACAUUUGGCAUCCUCCGUACACAGUUGAGGUUAAACAGAGGGUAUAUGGAGAAUAUUCUUUAACCUACGAGUCGUCUUGCUACUGUCACGUUACGUGGGACACCCUGUAGCAGAAGUUAAAAAGAGGACAUCUGGGACCCCGCGUACACACUUCACAGCAAAGGGUUUAAAGUAGAAAUAAUGAAGUAACCUACAGGGAUAACUAGAAAACUGUAGAGUAGGAAGACGACAUUAAAACAAAAUUGAAGUGCAUUUGUUGUUGCCACAGAGAAAAAACUUUACUACAGUGAAACCCUUAAUAACGAAUACAUCUGAAGAAUUGAUCAAAUGUCGUCUUGACAA